This 253-nucleotide ribosomal RNA is filed under the name uncultured bacterium. RNAcentral's name for it is "partial 16S ribosomal RNA". It matches the Rfam family "Bacterial small subunit ribosomal RNA", at positions 524 to 774 of the family's 1533-position model. The record is from RNAcentral.
UACGUAGGGGCCAAGCGUUGUCCGGAUUUAUUGGGCGUAAAGAGCUCGUAGGCGGUUCGGCAAGUCAGCUGUGAAAUCUCCACGCUCAACGUGGAGGGGUCAGCUGAUACUGCUGUGACUCGAGUCCGGUAGGGGAGUGUGGAAUUCCCGGUGUGAGCGGUGAAAUGCGUAGAGAUGUGGAGGAAUACCGAUGGCGAAGGCAGCCCCCUGGGCCAAUACUGACGCUCAUGCACGAAAGCGUGGGGAGCAAACG